GUAGGGAAUCUUGCGCAAUGGGCGAAAGCCUGACGCAGCCAUGCCGCGUGGAUGAUGAAGGUCUUAGGAUUGUAAAAUCCUUUCACCGGUGAAGAUAAUGACUGUAGCCGGAGAAGAAGCCCCGGCUAACUUCGUGCCAGCAGCCGCGGUAAUACGAAGGGGGCUAGCGUUGCUCGGAUUUACUGGGCGUAAAGGGCGCGUAGGCGGACAUUUAAGUCAGGGGUGAAAUCCCGGGGCUCAACCUCGGAACUGCCUUUGAUACUGGGUGUCUUGAGUAUGAGAGAGGUGUGUGGAACUCCGAGUGUAGAGGUGAAAUUCGUAGAUAUUCGGAAGAACACCAGUGGCGAAGGCGACACACUGGCUCAUUACUGACGCUGAGGCGCGAAAGCGUGGGGAGCAAACAGGAUUAGAAACCCCGGUAGUCC
RNAcentral lists this ribosomal RNA (425 nucleotides) under uncultured bacterium. Its description in RNAcentral is "partial 16S ribosomal RNA". It matches the Rfam family "Bacterial small subunit ribosomal RNA", at positions 354 to 796 of the family's 1533-position model. The record is from RNAcentral.